AGUCGACGGGGAUACGUUUUCGGAUGUAUUCUAGUGGCGCANNNGNNNNGUAACGCGUGAGCGACCUGACCCAAAGAGGGGGAUAACAUCGAGAAAUCGAUGCUAAUACCGCAUAAGACCACGGUAUCGCAUGGUACAGAGGUCAAAGGAGCAAUCCGCUUUGGGAGGGGCUCGCGUCCCAUUAGAUAGUAGGCGGGGUAACGGCCCACCUAGUCAACGAUGGGUAGCCGAGCUGAGAGGCUGAUCGGCCACACUGGAACUGAGACACGGUCCAGACUCCUACGGGAGGCAGCAGUGGGGAAUAUUGGGCAAUGGGCGAAAGCCUGACCCAGCAACGCCGCGUGAGGGAAGAAGGUUUUCGGAUUGUAAACCUCUGUCGCAGAUGACGAAGGAAGUGACGGUAAUCUGUGAGGAAGCCCCGGCUAACUACGUGCCAGCAGCCGCGGUAAUACGUAGGGGGCGAGCGUUGUCCGGAAUUACUGGGCGUAAAGGGUGCGUAGGCGGUUGAUUAAGUUGGAUGUGAAAUACCCGGGCUUAACCUGGGGGGUGCAUUCAAAACUGGUCAACUAGAGUUCAGGAGAGGGAAGCGGAAUUCCUAGUGUAGCGGUGAAAUGCGUAGAUAUUAGGAGGAACACCAGUGGCGAAGGCGGCUUUCUGGACUGACACUGACGCUGAGGCACGAAAGCGUGGGGAGCAAACAGGAUUAGANNNCCUGGUAGUCCACGCGGUAAACGAUGAAUACUAGGUGUAGGGGGUAUCAACUCCCUCUGUGCCGCAGCAAACGCAAUANG
Molecule: ribosomal RNA, 791 nt
Filed under: uncultured bacterium
Lineage: Bacteria
Description: bacterial SSU rRNA
Rfam family: Bacterial small subunit ribosomal RNA
Source: RNAcentral